UCCGGCGUGGCGCAACUGGCAGCGCGGCAGGUUUUGGUCCUGUGUCUUUGUCCUGGUUCGAGUCCAGGCGCCGGAA
This 76-nucleotide transfer RNA is filed under the name Nocardiopsaceae bacterium. Its description in RNAcentral is "tRNA-Gln". It matches the Rfam family "tRNA". From Rfam's summary of the family: Transfer RNA (tRNA) molecules are approximately 80 nucleotides in length. The record is from RNAcentral. Lineage: Bacteria; Bacillati; Actinomycetota; Actinomycetes; Streptosporangiales; Nocardiopsidaceae.